UACGUAGGUGGCGAGCGUUGUUCGGAUUUAUUGGGCGUAAAGGGUCCGUAGGAGGUUGAUUAAAUUUGGGGUGAAAUUCCGGAGCUCAACUCCGGAACUGCCUUGAAGACUGAUCAACUAGAGUAUCGGAGAGGUAAGCGGAAUUCCAGGUGUAGCGGUGGAAUGCUUAGAUAUCUGGAAGAACACCGAAAGCGAAGGCAGCUUACUGGACGGUAACUGACUCUCAUGGACGAAAGCGUGGGGAGCAAACAGG
Molecule: ribosomal RNA, 253 nt
Filed under: uncultured bacterium
Lineage: Bacteria
Description: partial 16S ribosomal RNA
Rfam family: Bacterial small subunit ribosomal RNA
Source: RNAcentral